AAAGGGAUGGGAUGAGAAGCACUGGUGAUGGAUGCAUCCAAAGCAGUGGGACUGGCGAGGGAGGAGAGUCCGGCCCUCUGCUCCGCUCUGAGGGAGCAGUGCCUGUGGCAGAGAUGUUCUGUGCGUCCAAAGCAGUGGGACUGGCGAGGGAGGAGAUUCCGGCCUUCUGCUCCGCUUUGAGGGAGCAGUGCCUGUGGCAGAGAUGUUCUGUGCGUCCAAAGCAGUGGGACUGGCGAGGGAGGAGAUUCCGGCCCUCUACUCCGCUUUGAUGCCUAAAGCUUCCUUGAACACCGGGCAACUGAAGUUGUUUCAAGAAACAGAAGUCUCAUCAUACCUGCAUUUAAAUCAUUUCCACUCACAGAUCUGCAUUGUCUUUUAUUUUCUCACCCAAAGAACCCACACUCACACAUUUAAUAAACUAU
Molecule: long non-coding RNA, 422 nt
Organism: Cuculus canorus (common cuckoo)
Lineage: Eukaryota; Metazoa; Chordata; Aves; Cuculiformes; Cuculidae
Exons: 4
Source: RefSeq, a predicted model, not a curated record